GCCGAUGUAGCUCAGGCGGUUAGAGUGGCUGUUUCGUAAACAGCAGGUCGAGGGUUCGAGUCCCUCCAUCGGCU
RNAcentral lists this transfer RNA (74 nucleotides) under Bacteroidales bacterium. Its description in RNAcentral is "tRNA-Thr". It matches the Rfam family "tRNA". From Rfam's summary of the family: Transfer RNA (tRNA) molecules are approximately 80 nucleotides in length. Their secondary structure includes four short double-helical elements and three loops (D, anti-codon, and T loops). Lineage: Bacteria; Pseudomonadati; Bacteroidota; Bacteroidia; Bacteroidales. The record is from RNAcentral.